This 938-nucleotide ribosomal RNA is filed under the name Phellia exlex. Its description in RNAcentral is "eukaryotic LSU rRNA". It matches the Rfam family "Eukaryotic large subunit ribosomal RNA", at positions 72 to 808 of the family's 3401-position model. The record is from RNAcentral. Lineage: Eukaryota; Metazoa; Cnidaria; Anthozoa; Actiniaria; Sagartiidae.
GGAUUCCCCUAGUAAUGGCGAAUGAAGCGGGAACAGCUCAAAUUUGAAAUCUGCGUCGCGUGCGACGUCGAAUUGUAGUUUCUAGAAGCACUUUCUAGGCGGGUCCGGGGCCGUCCAAGUUGCUUGGAACAGCACGUCAUAGAGGGUGACAACCCCGUCUGUGGCGGAACCGGCCGCUGACGAUGUGCUUUCGACGAGUCGGGUUGUUUGGGAAUGCAGCCCAAAAUGGGUGGUAAACUCCAUCUAAAGCUAAAUAUUGGCACGAGACCGAUAGCGAACAAGUACCGUGAGGGAAAGAUGAAAAGCACUUUGAAAAGAGAGUUAAACAGUACGUGAAACCGUUAAAAGGGAAACGGAUGGGGUCAGCAAUGCGCUCCGCGAGAUUCAGCCGAGCGGUGCGUCGGGCGGGUGGUUUGCGGAUCUGAAUGGACCGCGGCCGCUCGGAUCGGCGUUCCGACCGUCGCACUUCUCGCGAGUGCGCGCCAGCGUCGGUUGGCACUGGGUCUGAAAGGCGCGGGCAAGGUAGGCCGCCCCCUUCGGGGGGCGGUCGUUAUAGGCCUGCGUCGCAUGGCUCGGGGCCGACCGAGGAGUCGCGGCGUGUGCCUCCCCUCGGGGUUGGCUGGGGUCUUGUCUCGCCGAUUGGUAGUCGAAUGCGGUGGACUGCGUGCAGUGCACUGCGACCGCUGUCGGUCGCCGGGACGGUGACUUCGCACCACGCGCCAAGGACGCUGGCGAUCAAAUGGCCUCAUUCGACCCGUCUUGAAACACGGACCAAGGAGUCUAACAUGUGCGCGAGUCUUCGAGUGAAGGAAGCUCGCGGGCGCAAUGAAAGUGAAGGUGGCCUCGUUGUCGCCGAGGCGAGAGCCCGUCCUCCGGGGCGGGUGCAUCGUCGACCGACCUAUUCUGCUCUCAGGAAGGUUUGAGUGGGAGCGCACCUG